This 67-nucleotide transfer RNA is filed under the name Rattus norvegicus (Norway rat). It matches the Rfam family "tRNA". From Rfam's summary of the family: Transfer RNA (tRNA) molecules are approximately 80 nucleotides in length. Their secondary structure includes four short double-helical elements and three loops (D, anti-codon, and T loops). The record is from Rfam by way of RNAcentral. Lineage: Eukaryota; Metazoa; Chordata; Mammalia; Rodentia; Muridae.
GGAUGGCUCAAUGGUUAAGAGCACUGACUGUUCUUCCAGAGGUCCUGAGUUCAAUUCCCAGCAUCCA